This 71-nucleotide transfer RNA is filed under the name Loxodonta africana (African savanna elephant). It matches the Rfam family "tRNA". From Rfam's summary of the family: Transfer RNA (tRNA) molecules are approximately 80 nucleotides in length. Their secondary structure includes four short double-helical elements and three loops (D, anti-codon, and T loops). Further hydrogen bonds mediate the characteristic L-shaped molecular structure. tRNAs have two regions of fundamental functional importance: the anti-codon, which is responsible for specific mRNA codon recognition, and the 3' end, to which the tRNAs corresponding amino acid is attached (by aminoacyl-tRNA synthetases). tRNAs cope with the degeneracy of the genetic code in two manners: having more than one tRNA (with a specific anti-codon) for a particular amino acid; and 'wobble' base-pairing, i.e. permitting non-standard base-pairing at the 3rd anti-codon position. Lineage: Eukaryota; Metazoa; Chordata; Mammalia; Proboscidea; Elephantidae. The record is from Rfam by way of RNAcentral.
GCAGUGAUGGUUCAGCGGUAGAAUUCUUGCCUUCCAUGUGGAAAACCUGGGUUCGAUUCCUGGCCAAUGCA